RNAcentral lists this ribosomal RNA (497 nucleotides) under uncultured bacterium. RNAcentral describes it as "partial 16S ribosomal RNA". It matches the Rfam family "Bacterial small subunit ribosomal RNA", at positions 28 to 507 of the family's 1533-position model. The record is from RNAcentral.
GACGAACGCUGGCGGCGUGCCUAAUACAUGCAAGUUGAGCGCUGAAGGUUGGUACUUGUCCCAACUGGAUGGGCAGCGAACGGGUGAGUAACGCGUGGGGAAUCUGCCUUUGAGCGGGGGACAACAUUUGGAAACGAAUGCUAAUACCGCAUAAAAACUUUAAACACAAGUUUUAAGUUUGAAAGAUGCAAUUGCAUCACUCAAAGAUGAUCCCGCGUUGUAUUAGCUAGUUGGUGAGGUAAAGGCUCACCAAGGCGAUGAUACAUAGCCGACCUGAGAGGGUGAUCGGCCACAUUGGGACUGAGACACGGCCCAAACUCCUACGGGAGGCAGCAGUAGGGCAUCUUCGGCAAUGGACGAAAGUCUGACCGAGCAACGCCGCGUGAGUGAAGAAGGUUUUCGGAUCGUAAAACUCUGUUGGUAGAGAAGAACGUUCGUGAGAGUGGAAAGCUCAUCAAGUGACGGUAACUACCCAGAAAGGGACGGCUAACUACGUG